CUGAGAUUAGUGGGAAACUGUUAGCCUAGCUUAGCAUUAAUAAUGAGAGCAGAGGGAAACUGUUAGCCGAGCUUAACAUUAAUAAUGAGAGCAAAGGGAAACAGUUCACCUAGUGUAAAUGCCUUAGCCACUUGUACAUGUUUAUAAUUUUAUAUUUUUCUAUCGCUAAACUGGUCAGUGAUUGCUUAGUAAUACGUCAUAGAGAAUUUACAGUUAAAGCUUUAUUUUGAAAGGACGUCCACUAGGUGUUGUAAAGCAGGAGUAAUUCCAGUAAAGCAGAAAGCAGCGCGAAAGGUCCGAUGAGCAGAAAAAGGUGCUCCAUGGAAAAUAAUUGAGACAAAACAGUUUUAAGGUGUUCUCAAAGCUGCUGACGAUCACUCUAGCACCUGGUUGAUAAGGAGAACAAGGUUUGUAUUGGAAACUGUGAUUUACAUGUGUUUUGAUAUAGUUAUGAAGUGUAUUAGUUGCUAAUCUGCUAGCUAAAAGCAACAUGGUCUAUCUCCUGGUACAAGGUAAAAUGGGAUACAGCUAAAAGGUUUAUAUAAAUACAUAAAUUCAUGGUAAAUAGCACUCUAAUAGAGAUUGUCAAGGUAUAAUGGUCAAGGAUUAAAAAGCAAUUCAUAUGGUAAUAAAUAUGGCUAAAAAGGGCUAUAAAUAUAUGGCAUAAAGGGUGUAAGAGUUGCUAAUUGUAUUCCUAUUUGUCUGCAUUGUAGCUCUUAUGGUGGAUAUGGUCAAGGCAAGGCAAUAAAACACUUUUCAACCACCA
Acanthochromis polyacanthus (spiny chromis) is the source of this 766-nucleotide long non-coding RNA. RefSeq lists it as uncharacterized. NCBI's taxonomy places the organism in Eukaryota, Metazoa, Chordata, Actinopteri, Pomacentridae. The record is from RefSeq and is a predicted model, not a curated record. The transcript has 2 exons.